This 96-nucleotide small nucleolar RNA is filed under the name Delphinapterus leucas (beluga whale). RNAcentral also lists the same sequence under 1 other name. The record is from RNAcentral. Lineage: Eukaryota; Metazoa; Chordata; Mammalia; Artiodactyla; Monodontidae.
GGACCCCCGUGAUGUCCAGCACUGGGCUCUGAUCUCUGUUGAGGACACAGUGCCCCCCGGGACCUUUGACACCCGGGGGUCUGAGUGGGGGGGUCC